UACAGAGGGUGCGAGCGUUAAUCGGAAUUACUGGGCGUAAAGCGCACGUAGGUGGCGACGUAAGUCGGGUGUGAAAGCCCCGGGCUCAACCUGGGAACCGCGCUUGAGACUGGAGAACUAGAGUUCGGGAGAGGAUGGUGGAAUUCCCAGUGUAGAGGUGAAAUUCGUAGAUAUUGGGAAGAACACCGAUGGCGAAGGCAGCCAUCUGGACCGACACUGACGCUGAGGCGCGAAAGCGUGGGGAGCAAACAGG
This 253-nucleotide ribosomal RNA is filed under the name uncultured bacterium. Its description in RNAcentral is "partial 16S ribosomal RNA". It matches the Rfam family "Bacterial small subunit ribosomal RNA", at positions 524 to 776 of the family's 1533-position model. The record is from RNAcentral.